RNAcentral lists this ribosomal RNA (468 nucleotides) under uncultured bacterium. RNAcentral's name for it is "partial 16S ribosomal RNA". It matches the Rfam family "Bacterial small subunit ribosomal RNA", at positions 29 to 507 of the family's 1533-position model. The record is from RNAcentral.
ACGCACGCUGGCGGCGUGCUUAACCCAUGCAAGUCGAACGGAAAGGCCCUGCUUGCAGGGUGCUCGAGUGGCGAACGGGUGAGUAACACGUGGGUGAUCUGCCCCUUACUUUGGGAUAAGCCUGGGAAACUGGGUCUAAUACUGGAUAGGACCAUGCUGUAGGUGGUGUGGUGGAAAGAUUAGUUUCGGUAAGGGAUGAGCUCGCGGCCUAUCAGCUUGUUGGUGGGGUAAUGGCCUACCAAGGCGUCGACGGGUAGCCGGCCUGAGAGGGUGGACGGCCACAUUGGGACUGAGAUACGGCCCAGACUCCUACGGGAGGCAGCAGUGGGGAAUAUUGCACAAUGGGCGCAAGCCUGAUGCAGCGACGCCGCGUGGGGGAUGACGGCCUUCGGGUUGUAAACUCCUUUCAGCCAUGACGAAGCCCUUGUGGUGACGGUAGUGGUAGAAGAAGCACCGGCUAACUACGUG